RNA transcript from Arachis duranensis, 3409 nucleotides. RefSeq lists it as uncharacterized. The transcript is spliced from 8 exons. NCBI's taxonomy places the organism in Eukaryota, Viridiplantae, Streptophyta, Magnoliopsida, Fabales, Fabaceae. The record is from RefSeq and is a predicted model, not a curated record.
CAUAUCUUGUACACUUGUCAUUCAUUUCUCCUGCUCCUCCACGCGACGGUAACAGCCCCAUCUCCGACGACAUUGCACCACUGAUCUCCGACGACCAUGGUUCUGAAAAUUAGACCGACCCGACCUUGAACCGUGUUUCUCUACCGUUCGGAUUGAAUUGAGAAAUCGCUAGACAUAAAACCGUUUUGAAACCGCUGUAUCGAUUGGAUACCGGCCGGUUUUCAAUCACCUGCCUCAGACAUUGUCGUUUUGGCUUAUUAAAAAAAAAAAAACAGGAAUUGAAGCCUCGCACUCGCAGUCUCACACGAACCAUCAUCUGAGCACAUUGCUCUUCCCUCAUUUUGAGAAAGAAAAGAGGAGACAACCCUACCAUUCACCGCCGCCGCCGCCGCUCUUCUCACCGCCAUGGUCCCACCAUCGUGUGGUCGUCCUCCAUCGUCCCCUCUGCUGUAUUCUCCAACGCCUCUGUUCAUUCGCCAACUUCUUCGUGUCGCAUCGCUAGCUCCAGUUCGUCAGUUCGUCGCCCAUCGUCCGUGGUUGUCCGCCGGCGUUCUUGCUCAAUCUCGCUCAUACUCUACUCACUUCUCAGACCGAAGUUGAACCGGUUGGAUCAGUGAAUCAGUAAUUAAAGCGGUUCAAUGACUGGUCCAGUUUUCAGAACCUUGCCGACGACUCACCAACUCUGAGCUCCAUAGAAUUCGCAUUUUCCAUCACCAUACAGCCACCAUGGAUGUUGAUUCACAGCCAACUAUGGAAGAAACGAUUCUGGUGGGCGAUGACCUGAUGAUGGGUCCACCGUCACCUGUUGUGCCACCUGAAAUUGCAUCCCAUGUUCUCCGCGGUGUUGAUUUGUGUGAUGGAAUCCUUAAGAACCUGUUUUUAUGCUUGCAAAUCAAUGACAUUGAACCAUUCUGCCAGGAUGAGCUUGCUCUUUAUAAACAAUGUGCUGAAAGAAGGGACAAGGAGAUUAGGAAUCGUCUUCAAGAAAGUGACCGGAAAUUGGGUUCAUCAAUGCCUUUUGAAGAAGCCAAGGAGAGAGUUACCCAGCUUGAGAAAGAAGUUACGUCAUUGGAUAGGCACCUCAUUCUUGCUACUGGAGCUGAAGGCAUGGAAGGUUUUCGACAAAGAUGGAGUUUACAUGGCCGCCUAACUGAUACCAAGAAAAGGUUGGAGUCCUUAAAGCAGGGCAUAGAUAGCAGAAAAUGAGGAUGAGUCCAACAACAGAAAUUUGGUUCCUAGGUGAAGGUUGAACCUGCAUCAGGGGGGCACCUUGUUAUAUGCAUCCAUCCAAAUCGUUUAGAAAUAUGCGUCCGACUUAUUGAUGUCGAGAUGUUGCUUGUCUGAGUUCCUUGUAGAGGAGGAGGAUGGUAUCUGCAAGAGACUCUGAUGCUUAAGUUAGUAAAGGUUUUAGGCAGAUUUUUAGUAGAUUAGAAUGUAGAUUAUAUUUGAAGGAUGCCAGUGUAUUUAUAAUAGAGUUGAUGACCACUUUUUUUGGAAAAGUUCCAUCUUUAUUGAUGGAUAACUAUUCCCUUUAUCUUGGGAGUUUGUUGGAAACUAUCUUUUUUAGGGAAAAUAAAGAUUGUAGGAGAGAUUCGCGGAGACAAUUACUUGCUUGGACAAGUGGAGCUGGACUCCCUUGCGGUGUCCGACCUCUUCAAAGAGAUCGGGUAUGGAUGAAGAUCUCUUUCCAGGAUUGGUCUGUCAAUCCUUAUUGGGUCUGGCUUUAGUUGCUGGAUUAGGGUAUGAAUAAUAUUCCUGCUUGAGUCCUGAACUUUAUGUAGGUCGAGAUCAAGCAAUUCGUGGCUUCUGCUUAGACGUCAGGUACCCUGCCUUUCCACAGGUUGGAUACUCGAUGUGUUUUGAAAAUUUGAAUGUUGCCUCAUUAAAUGAGGGGCGAACGUUGCGCAGCAGUUUUUCUUGGGAUCCUGCAUGUUUUAAAGAGGAGUUUAGAGUCAUUAUGUCCAUUGUCUCCUAUAAAAGCGUUUUUGGCUCUUCUUCUUCUCCUUUCCCAACUGUUGAAAGCUUUUUCAUUUUCUUCUCUCUUUGCAAAAAAUCUUUCUUCUUCUGUUCUUGCCUUCUAGUUGCUCUCGAUUCCAAGAUUUCUUCAUCUUGGAUCUUUUAAAGAUUUUGCUUUAUGGAGAGGAAGGUUUGUGAUUUGUGGCUUUGAGGUGCCCCUCCUUCUUUGAAUUUUCAUCGAGGUUGGUGCUUCUAUUUAUGUUAUCAGUAGCUUUGUGUUCUAUUUGUGGCGUGGCUGUUUUGAAUGGCUUUCGAAUAGAAAUGCUAGCAAUGUGCUUCUUUGGGUGUGCUUCUUGGAUUUCGGCGGUAGUCUUACUUGUUUUCUUUGAGACUUUUUGUUGAUUAUUGUCAUUUAGUCUAAAAACUUCUUAGUUUGAAAACUUCUUUUGUAACCACUUUUGUUGAUUAGACUGCAACGGCUUUUUGUUGAUUGAAUCGCAGUCGGUUAUCUGGGACUUUUCUAAGUUUUUGUGGAACUAUUGUUACUGUAACUGUUUUGUUGUUUGUUGUCGUAUUGUUCCCAAUGGUAUUGCUGCUAUGUUGUUACUGAUAGCAUAGGAGGGACAUUGUUUUGGUGUUUAUUUGUAGAAAAAUUUCUGAAAAUGGCUCUUGUUGGUUUUACUUGUUUUUGACCGACUUCUUUUCGACGACGUCUGAGUUGUUGGAGUAACGAUUUCUUUAUUUUGCAUAUAUAGGUAUAGCUUAUAUGUCACGUGCUGUAGUUUUGAAUAUGUCGACUAAGAUUCCUCUUAGCUUUUUUACUUGGGUAGAUACUACCGUUCUUUUUUUGUGUCCCCGUAGUUGAUAAGGAAUACUGUGAUGUACUCUGUAGGCAUCAUAAAAUAUGUGAUAACAAGGAAGAUGAGAGGAAUUACGAGUUAGUAGUACCUGAUCCUAAAGAGAGAAUUUGUUUUCCUCCUUUGGACAAGUCGGAACGCCCAUUCUUUUAUGCCUAUGGUUGUUUUUCACCAAAUUAGGCAUUUCUCUCCCUUUUACCGACUUUGAAACGAAUAUCCUUUGGGCUUGUAAUGUGGCCCCUUUCCAGCUUCAUCCAAACUCCUGAGCCUUCUUAAAAAAUUUUCAGCUUCUAUGUCGGGAGCUUGAGGUCUGACCUUCUAGUAAGCUUUUCUUUUAUCUGUUUGUUUUGACCAAACUCGGGACGUUGAAAGGGAAGGCUUCUUGGUUUUUCUUCUGCACCAUCCAAGGUAAGGAAGUUUUUUCCAUUUUUGAUAAAUCCUUUCAUGACUUUAAAAAUCAUUUCUUUAAAAUUCAAGCCGUGGAGGGUGCCCGACCUUUCUUUUUGGAUGGGAAUGACGAGCUUUCCUUUCUCCUAUAUUGGCAAAAAGAACCUGUAGUUAGGGGUGGCAAGCAGGGAAGCCCGCCUCGCCUCACC